GUGGAUAUAGCUCAGUUGGUCAGAGCGAUAGUCUGUGGAUCUAUAAGUCACGGGUUCGAUCCCCGUUAUUCGC
This 73-nucleotide transfer RNA is filed under the name Marophrys sp. SRT127. Its description in RNAcentral is "tRNA-His". It matches the Rfam family "tRNA". From Rfam's summary of the family: Transfer RNA (tRNA) molecules are approximately 80 nucleotides in length. Their secondary structure includes four short double-helical elements and three loops (D, anti-codon, and T loops). Further hydrogen bonds mediate the characteristic L-shaped molecular structure. tRNAs have two regions of fundamental functional importance: the anti-codon, which is responsible for specific mRNA codon recognition, and the 3' end, to which the tRNAs corresponding amino acid is attached (by aminoacyl-tRNA synthetases). tRNAs cope with the degeneracy of the genetic code in two manners: having more than one tRNA (with a specific anti-codon) for a particular amino acid; and 'wobble' base-pairing, i.e. permitting non-standard base-pairing at the 3rd anti-codon position. Lineage: Eukaryota; Centroplasthelida; Acanthocystida. The record is from RNAcentral.